CAAAAGCGCCCCGGCCUUGUGCCGGUGGACAGCGAACUUGUCGCCAGAAAUGGAGGCAAUGUUUGUCAACCCUUUGUGAAACUUAUACCUUUGCUUCGGCAGCGCUCUCAGCGGGCAACCGCUGGAGGGGUAAGGCUGCCAGAAGCCCAUAUCAAAACCAGUUGAUGAAAUGUCAUGCUGUCUGAUAACCACUUUUGAGAAAUCAAAUGUAUAUUA
This 216-nucleotide unclassified non-coding RNA is filed under the name uncultured Orbiliales. RNAcentral describes it as "sequence contains ITS1". Lineage: Eukaryota; Fungi; Ascomycota; Orbiliomycetes; Orbiliales. The record is from RNAcentral.